Molecule: long non-coding RNA, 631 nt
Filed under: Prunus persica (peach)
Lineage: Eukaryota; Viridiplantae; Streptophyta; Magnoliopsida; Rosales; Rosaceae
Description: long non-coding RNA (PPER_LNC008263)
Source: RNAcentral
AAACAUCAACAUGACAUCUAAAGUACAAAUUCCAAGAGGGCAACGAACUAACAUGUUAAAAACAAAACUAUAUUGGACUAGUCUCACUAAAAUUGCUAGCCCACAUCACCACAAUUAACCAUAAGCCCAAAAAAAGGCCACAAACUCAACAUGACCCUAAAGCAAUCCAUGAGCCUAAAUGAACUCUACCACCACCACACGAUGAAGUGUCGUCGUGGCCACACCCACCAUUGCAUCCGUAACAUAUAUGGGGAAAAUAUAUUGGGUGAUUCCGUCAAGGACGAUGUAGAAACAAAUUUAGAGCAUGAGCAUUGUUAUAGUGUGGGUUUUGAAAGAAUGAUUUGAUUGAGAACAUAGCCUAAAAGGGGUGAUGGGGAACUUCAAUCUAAGCAGGGCUCAAAAAAAAUCACCACAAAGAGACUUCUUAAUCAAAAUGCCUGAGUGGACUUAUUCACUAACCCAAAAGGAAAAAACAAGAAGAGAGGAGGGGGAGAAGGGGCAGUGAGGAGAGAGAGAGAGAGGCUAGAGAUUCACAGACUAUCAAUGUAAUCUUCUUUUGAUAAAAAUAAAAAAUAAAAAACCAAUACAAGUUUAUUAGAUUAAACAGAAAAAAGAAUAUAAAGGAAAAAAU